UGGCAUAAUAAAAGAAAGACCGAGUAACUCCUUCAUUCUUCAUUCUCUUCCGUCCCAAACCAAUUUCAAGCAUAACCUCUCUACUCACAUGUUAUUAACACCGAAACCUCUUCAAUUACUAAGUAAAUUGGAUAAUUAAAGCAAGUAAACUGAAAUUGAGUUAAUAGCUGAGAUUAACGAAAGCUUGGAGCAAGGAUUUAAGAGAGUCAACAAAAGAGGUAAUCCAUAUACGUUAGCCAUGUUCUUAUAAUUGGGUAUAUUCAUAUGUAAAAUUUGUAUAUAUUUAUGCGAAUUAGUAGUAGAAAUUGUGGAAUUAGAAAGAAGGAGAAUAGUUGUUGAUGUGCGGAGGAAUAAGGAAGAGAUUUUAUGAAGAAAUCUGGAUACAUCAUGUCUAGUAAGCUAUGAAAAUCGAUUUUUAAAGUUAUGCCCACAAGUUGUUUGACGAAAAGCUUCAAAGAGUAAUUUUUGCAAUGAAUCGAUAAUUAACCAAUGUAAUGAACACGAUAGCUCAUGAAUAAGAGUUACGCUAUAAUCAAGUGAAUUGAGUUGUUUUAGUGUGCCUUUAAAGUGGUGUUAGAAAUUUUCUUGCAGUUGAGAUCAAAUAAGAAACUAGUUUUGAAAAUCUUGACAACAUAGGACUUUCAAGCCUAAUUUCAGAUUUGUUAAUGAAUCUGGAAAUAAAUUCAACCCUAGAGAUUUUUAAAAGGAUGUUACAAGUUUUCCAUAGCCUCGAGAACGGACUAAUUCCGAUAUCGAGUGAAGAAAUUAUGAAGAUUUGAAGUAGGUGCAUCAAAUAGACAAAAUCUUGAAAUUUUGGCAAAGCGGGCAGAGAAUACUAUGCUGAUUAGGCGUUGUUGCGCUUCCCACAACCCAAUUUUGGGCGCAACCACGCAUGAACAAUGCCAGACAUGAUUGCUUUAACCUCCUGUAGUAAAAUAGGCAUAAUAUUUUCAUACGAACUUCGAUUAAGGUGAUUGAAGAUGAUCUGGAAAGAUAAGAAGUAAACCUACAACUUUCAUUCUUUAAGUUUUGAAAUUUGAGGUCAAGAGUAGGGUCUAAAUUGG
RNAcentral lists this long non-coding RNA (1064 nucleotides) under Panax ginseng (ginseng). RNAcentral describes it as "long non-coding RNA (PGIN_LNC006869)". The record is from RNAcentral. Lineage: Eukaryota; Viridiplantae; Streptophyta; Magnoliopsida; Apiales; Araliaceae.